This 406-nucleotide ribosomal RNA is filed under the name uncultured bacterium. RNAcentral's name for it is "partial 16S ribosomal RNA". It matches the Rfam family "Bacterial small subunit ribosomal RNA", at positions 30 to 526 of the family's 1533-position model. The record is from RNAcentral.
AUUGAACGCUGGCGGCAUGCCUAACACAUGCAAGUCGAACGAGUGGCGGACGGUUUAUUAAUGUCUGGGAACCUGCCUGAUGGAGGGCUAUAACUACUGGAAGCGGUCGCUACUACCGCCUACCGCCAGAUUUUCCCAGAUGGGAUGAGCUAGUUGGUGGGGUAACGGCUAACCAAGGCGACGAUCCGUAGCUGGUCUGAGAGGAUGACCAGCAACACUGGAACUGAGACACGGUCCAGACUCCUACGGGAGGCAGCAGUGGGGAAUAUUGGACAAUGGGGGAAAGCCUGAUGCAGCCAUGCCGCGUGUAUGAAGAAGGCCUUCGGGUUGUAAAGCACUUUUAGCGGGGAGGCGGUACCUGCAGAAGAAGCACCGGCUAACUACGUGCCAGCAGCCGCGGUAAUAC